UGUGGUCUGAGGUGGCUGCUGUUGGCCUGAGACAGAAUCCAUAUGCCCAGGUUUUAGACUUCAGGAGCGCAGGUUGGAAAAAGAAACAUGAGCAGUGUCUGCUAUUGCUGUUCAUUGCUGUGAUCCCUCAGGGUUCUGGAAUUGUCUGCUUCCUGAAGAGCCUGCCGCUCACUGGCUCAAGCUGUCCCGAUGCCCAAGGGGAUGUCCCAGGUUUGCAGAUGUGCUCUUCCAGCAUCUUCCCUGGAAAUCACAGAACUUCAGGAAUGAAUGGCCUUCUCCUCUUCAUGCUGCCCCUACCUGUUGAUUCAGACGGAUCCUCACUCCACUCUGAGAUGAGGAGAAACGGAAGCCAGCCUUACGCUUUACUCUCCCCUCCCUGAGGAGACAGACUGUACUCAUUGUUGAGGUUGUAUAAGGGUUUGUACCUCUAACAAAGACAUGAAACAGACAAGCCAUAAGAAGCCUUCGUCCUCAACCCCACUGACUCGUCUUUUCCGCUUAGACCCCCUCAGGAAGGAGAAAAGCUAGCUGAGGAGUAAUAGUGGGGUUUUGGAGACGUGAAGGCUUGAGGUUGCAUGCGGUGCUGUUUAGGGGGCCUUUCCUCCCAGAAGUGGAAAACCCAGACUUGAUUGUCUCCCGGGCCUUUGCUCACCGGAGCGGAUGGGAGUGAAGGGGUGAGGAGGGAGAGAAGCUGAGGCAGGGGUAUGUUCAUGGGCUGGUGUUAGGGAUGACCCUUUCUAGCGCUUUCCCGCUUUCCCUUCCCCUUUGCUGCUAGUCCUGCCCCCUAGUGGGUGUAGGCUGAAGGGGCAGGGCUCCCAGACAAGGCACAGUGUGCCCCAGGGAGAGGGCCACACAAGGACAGGAGAAGCGAUGGAAAUUUCAGACGCUAGCAAUCUGGGAGGAGAGAGAGAGUUCCUUCUAGAACUCAGCGGGGGAGACAGAGGAACUUGAUGAUCAUUGCAGUUAUUGCAUAUAUUGCAUAAGGGAUAGGUGGAAGAUUGGCCUGGCUGCCUCGGUGACUAAAAAUAUCGGUCACUGCCUGGACAUGCAUUGCUCACAGACUUGGGUGAGAACGAGAAGGGGAGGACGAUGUUGAAAAUAAGGACGAGGAUGGCUGCCUCCUUGAGUUUUCUGAGCGCCAGGCAGCCAGCCAGCUGGAUCCACGAGAGGCUUCCCCUGCCAGCCUCUUCGCCGCUCUGGGUGGUGGACGUUGUUGUUGUUACUUUCCAGAUGAGACAGUUGAGGCUCAGGGAUCCAAACGAGCUUGCCUAAGGCCAUGGGCUAGUCAGUGCAAGGACAGACCCCACCUCCCCCAGACUGACUCAAAGACGCACGCAGUGUCCUGCUACCUCAUUCAACAGCCCCUCACGAUGCACCAACGGUAAGCCGGCUUCAGCAGGGGUGUACAAAAACGAGGAUGACACCACCGUUACUUUUCAUAAGCUUAUAGUCCAGAGACGCGCCCAGAGGUCCUCACGUCUAUUUCUUCAUUGCAUGAAGCCCAUACCAUUUGGCACCAAAGCCCCUUCUGAGGAUUGGAGAGACUUGUCAUUUGUUUUUCCCAGCUGGGCCACUGUCUUCUCGAAGGAGGCGCGGAGUCCUAUCACCCGGCCAGUGGCCUUAUCUCCUUCCCUGAGGGCAGGACGAAAACACAGGCAAGAACCCAGGGACCUGCCAUGUGCACUGAAGUGCAAGUCUCCGUCUGGUUCUCUGCGAAUGUAGAGCUUUGAAUCCAAUGUAAAAUUCGAUCAAAACUCGGUGAGUUUUGCCCUCCUGCUUCCUGUUAGUACCAAGGGCAGGAGCGACAUCAGGCUUGGCCUAUGAUUUCUCUUCUUUGGAUAUCAACCCAAAGAAUUUCACAGCCUCACUGCACUGCCUAACUCUCUCCCGGACACAGCGCAUCUUUCUCCACCUGUUUUCCCUUCUCAAGCUUCUGCACCUGGAUCAUCUUGCAGACGGAGGGAGGUCGACGCAGGUUACCAUUUCUCUGUCUCAGCUGUUCUGCGGGUCACCUCCCAGCAGCCCUCACGGGGGGAGGACCGUGGCUGUCUCGCUUGCUUUCCGCGGCAUUUCCAACUGCCUUUAAGGUUUUAUCAUUGACACUUUUGAAUAGCACUGUCAUUUUGUUGUCCCAUUCUGGAUGCCGUCAUCUGUAUUCUGAUUUCAUCUCACCUCGAGACCAGGUUGUCCAAGCCUUAUUUACUUAUUUAUUUAUUUUUCCUCUUUUGACUUGAGACAGCUUUUCGUUUGCUCUUCACAUCAGUGGGUAUCUGGGAUGCUGCGGCUUUAACUUUGAAACAUGGUCACGUGCAGCCGGGGUGCUUUUACCGUGGGUCUCAUAGGCUAGUGGAGUGGGGGCUGGGAUCUGGAAGAAGAUCCCCAGGACAAAGACGGCCUUGUCAUUGGUUAUGAGCAAGUGCAAGUCUGUGCUUCGGAGCUGGGGAAGACAGGUUUGAGAAGACUUAGGGAAGGAGAUUCCUCCCGUCAGUGUGGACUCUAUCCCAGAUGCCAGGGAAAGUCUCUGGGAAUUCCCUAGGAUCUGUGCUCAGCUUGAGAGGCUUCCAAGAGACAUUAUCUCAGUACAUUCCAUUUUAAUAAAGAACAUGGAAGAAGACGGCAUCUGGGAAGCAUGUGCAGCCUACAGAACUGAUAUAGGUAAAAAGAAUUCUUUUUGCCUGUGGUAAAUCCGCAACUGCUUGGUCAACAUGGAUUUCUUGCCACUAAAUCUUCAGGGGAAGAGCCUCAAAGGGAAGAGCCUCAAAGGGAGAGGAAUUCAACAUACAAGGCCCCGCGAGGCCACAUCAAUCGUGUAAACUGAGAUGCAUGUGCUGCUGGGUUCCCACUGACCGAGCGUGUUGGCAGCUCCCUCCACCAGCCUGGAAUGCACACAAACCCCGGGGCUGCGCUCCCUCCUUUUAUCACAAAGGAGCUCAUUUUGUGAAUGAACAGCCGCCGCCAGCAGCACGUUGGUAUUCCCAGUGACCUUUGCCCGGGGAUUGGAUUCCCGCCCAGCAGGGAGACCGGGGCCCUAGGAAAAGUUUGAUGUUUUUAGGUAUCAAAGGAAGGUCUCCAGGAACCCUGCAACUAAAGACUUUAAUGAGGACCAUGCCCCAGAAAUCCCGGCUGCCAAAGACAUGAUGAUGAUUUAUGUCGCUCACUCACUCCCUAACAGCAAGAGGACUAUUUGUAAAAAUAAAAAAGCUGCUCAUAUGGAAUUAAACAAGAGCAUAGCUGCUUCCUUCCAGACCCUGGGAGCUUAACAAAGAGCAUCCACACUCCGCGGCCAGCAGCACAUGGCCCAGGGCCGGCCGUCUUCCUGUCACACAGCGCUCAGACAGCCGCGCACGCUCCCUGUCGGCGGACCCCAACAGGCACAUGCCCAGGGAAGCACAAACUCGGGUCGGACACAAAAGGGUCUACACUGACCUCAGGCCUCAGCUGAGCCACCGAAGGGCUCUGAGCAUCAAGAGGUGGGCAGAGGCACAGGCCGCUGCCGUGGUCGCCCCGAGGGCCUGGCCGCAAGAUGGUUAGCGCCCCUCUUUGUUCUUGGUGUCGGACCGCUGAGCGACCCAUGGGUGCCACCUGGGUUCUGGCCAGCUCGCCAAAGGGGGAAGAGAUACAUUCUUAUGCCUCCCUUUCCUCAUGUUAGCUGAGGCCACCGCAGAGUGUUGAUAGCAGUAAGGAGACGAAGCGUAGGACACGUGGAACGCAACGCUGACACCUGCUGAUGAUUAUUAUCCAUCUGUAUUGCGGCUGCCACCAAUGGGGCCGCUCAGACCUCCUGCUGCAGUGACAGUACUUGACCGAGGGACUGGUCUAUGUUCUUGCAGGUCACGAUCGGUCAGGUGCACCACAAAAGAGACCCCAGGGGAGACACAAGAAAACAGUGUGUUAUACUCACGGGACCUAGACAGGGGGUUACCGUAGGGCAUGCAAGG
Long non-coding RNA from Herpailurus yagouaroundi (jaguarundi), 3938 nucleotides. RefSeq lists it as uncharacterized. NCBI's taxonomy places the organism in Eukaryota, Metazoa, Chordata, Mammalia, Carnivora, Felidae. The transcript is spliced from 5 exons. The record is from RefSeq and is a predicted model, not a curated record.